RNAcentral lists this transfer RNA (81 nucleotides) under Serendipita indica DSM 11827. RNAcentral describes it as "transfer RNA-Pseudo(TAG)". Lineage: Eukaryota; Fungi; Basidiomycota; Agaricomycetes; Sebacinales; Serendipitaceae. The record is from RNAcentral.
GUGAACAUGCUGUAAUGGUAGCCAGGUGGGGUUUAGGUUCUCAUGGGUUUUCCCGUCAAAGUUCAAGUCUUUGUGUUCAUA